Molecule: ribosomal RNA, 255 nt
Filed under: uncultured bacterium
Lineage: Bacteria
Description: partial 16S ribosomal RNA
Rfam family: Bacterial small subunit ribosomal RNA
Source: RNAcentral
UACAGGAGGUCUCAACCGUUGUUCGGAUUCAUUGGGCGUAAAGGGUGCGUAGGCGGUCGUGCAAGUCGACUGUGAAAUCUCCGGGCUUAACCCGGAAAGGUCAGCCGAAUACUGCAGGGCUAGAGUGCAGAAGGGGCAACUGGAAUUCUCGGUGUAGCGGUGAAAUGCGUAGAUAUCAAGUGGAACACCAGUGGCGAAGGCGAGUCCCUGGACAUUUCCUGACACUGAGGCACGAAAGCUAGGGGAGCAAACAGG